This is a long non-coding RNA of Sinocyclocheilus anshuiensis, 310 nucleotides long. RefSeq lists it as uncharacterized. The record is from RefSeq and is a predicted model, not a curated record. Lineage: Eukaryota; Metazoa; Chordata; Actinopteri; Cypriniformes; Cyprinidae. The transcript is spliced from 3 exons.
GUCGAUAACUCUUCUGCUGUGCCUGGCUACAAUGCUGCUCGCUCAAGUCACCUGCCAAAUAAGUGGCGUGUCAAAUUGCCUUUGUCUCAAGACAUCAAAUCGAGUUCUCCGCAAGGAAAUGAUUGAAAGUUACAUGAUACAAAAAGCAGGCGUCUGCCAUAUUGAUGCCAUUUUAUUUAAAAGAGUCAGUGGUCGUUUCAUUUGUGCCAAUCCACUAAUGCAUUGGGUGAAAAGAGCCGUGGAAUUUGUGGACAAGAAGAAGGCAAUUAAAAAGAAAGCACAUCCCAUGAUCCCUGCACCAACAUUUACA